UACACGACUCUCGGCAAUGGAUAUCUCGGCUCUCGCAUCGAUGAAGAGCGCAGCGAAAUGCGAUACUU
Molecule: ribosomal RNA, 68 nt
Filed under: Microcoelia macrorrhynchium
Lineage: Eukaryota; Viridiplantae; Streptophyta; Magnoliopsida; Asparagales; Orchidaceae
Description: Microcoelia macrorhynchia partial 5.8S ribosomal RNA
Rfam family: 5.8S ribosomal RNA
About the family: 5.8S ribosomal RNA (5.8S rRNA) is a component of the large subunit of the eukaryotic ribosome. It is transcribed by RNA polymerase I as part of the 45S precursor that also contains 18S and 28S rRNA.
Source: RNAcentral